Molecule: ribosomal RNA, 898 nt
Filed under: Anomoloma albolutescens
Lineage: Eukaryota; Fungi; Basidiomycota; Agaricomycetes; Amylocorticiales; Amylocorticiaceae
Description: partial large subunit ribosomal RNA
Rfam family: Eukaryotic large subunit ribosomal RNA
Source: RNAcentral
CCCCUAGUAACUGCGAGUGAAGCGGGAAAAGCUCAAAUUUAAAAUCUGGCGGUCUUUUGGCUGUCCGAGUUGUAAUCUGGAGAAGCGUUUUCCGCGUCGGACCGUGUAUAAGUUCUCCUGGAAUGGAGCGUCAUAGAGGGUGAGAAUCCCGUCUUUGACACGGACCACCGAUGCUUUUGUGAUGCGCUCUCAAAGAGUCGAGUUGUUUGGGAAUGCAGCUCAAAAUGGGUGGUAAAUUCCAUCUAAAGCUAAAUACAGGCGAGAGACCGAUAGCGAACAAGUACCGUGAGGGAAAGAUGAAAAGCACUUUGGAAAGAGAGUUAAACAGUACGUGAAAUUGUUGAAAGGGAAACGCUUGAAGUCAGUCGCGUUGUCUGGGGAUCAACCUUGCUUUGGCUUGGUGUAUUUCCUGGUUAACGGGUCAGCAUCAAUUUUGAUCGUUGGAUAAAGUCUAGUUGAAUGUGGCAUCCCUCGGGGUGUGUUAUAGCUUCUAGUCGCAUACAACGGUUGGGAUUGAGGAACUCAGCACGCCUUUAUGGUCGGGGCAAUAUCUGCCCACGUAACGUGCUUAGGAUGCUGGCGUAAUGGCUUUAAACGACCCGUCUUGAAACACGGACCAAGGAGUCUAACAUGCCCGCGAGUGUUUGGGUGGAAAACCCGGACGCGUAAUGAAAGUGAAAGUUGAGACCUCUGUCGUGGAGGGCAUCGACGCCCGGACCAGACCUUUUGUGACGGAUCCGCGGUAGAGCGUGUAUGUUGGGACCCGAAAGAUGGUGAACUAUGCCUGAAUAGGGUGAAGCCAGAGGAAACUCUGGUGGAGGCUCGUAGCGAUUCUGACGUGCAAAUCGAUCGUCAAAUUUGGGUAUAGGGGCGAAAGACUAAUCGAACCCUCUUUGUG